Molecule: long non-coding RNA, 1339 nt
Organism: Protopterus annectens (West African lungfish)
Lineage: Eukaryota; Metazoa; Chordata; Ceratodontiformes; Protopteridae
Exons: 3
Source: RefSeq, a predicted model, not a curated record
CUAAGACUCCUGUCGCCUUCCCUACCUAGGGACCUAAGCUUACAGUUUUGGAUAGCCUCCUCCUGAAAGGACACAAGAAACUCUAUUACUUUCUGACCUCCAGAAGGUCUGGGAAAGUAUACCCUACCUAAGACUCCUGUCGCCUUCCCUACCUAGGGACCUAAGCUUACAGUUUUGGAUAGCCUCCUCCUGAAAGGACACAAGAAACUCUAUUACUUUCUGACCUCCAGAAGGUCUGGGAAAGUAUACCCUACCUAAGACUCCUGUCGCCUUCCCUACCUAGGGACCUAAGCUUACAGUUUUGGAUAGCCUCCUCCUGAAAGGACACAAGAAAGUACGUCCUAUAACUCUUCCAGGUUUUCAGAACACUAUUGUAUGCUUCUCACAUCCUGCAAAGUUGUUAUUCUCAAAGCAAGAUCAGCUAGCAGCCUACCCUAGCUUUUCCCAUCCACCUGACCCAGCAACAUCCAUUAGUAUCUCUAGCUACCUGCCCCACUUCCUAGCCACAAGCCUUGUAAGGAGUCCUCGCAGCAAAUACCUGCUGUGGCCACUAGGUGGCUCCCUACUCCUAGUAUUGCUUAUCCCUGCAAACCUCUUUCUCCCUAAUAAUUUACUACGUGUCCAACUAUCUGUUAACCUCUGUACAUUCUCCUCUCAGCUUCUGUCUCUCUUAUUUCCAGCCUACCUCACUUAGUCCUUACACACCAAGCAUUCUUCCAUCCCCUUGGAUUACUUACCUUCUCUAUAAGCACUCCACUGAUUGUUUUCCCCUCAACCUCUCUUCUUUGGCUCUUCCCGCUCCGUUCGCCCUGCGGGCUCACUCCGCUCCCCUCCCUACCCCCAAUUCCCACCCACCCCCAGGGGUCCUACAUUUAUCUUACCUAUAAUCACGCCCCUUUACUCCUCUCCCCAAUCAUAUUCAAACUGGGCUGUACUCCUGUAACUGGAUACACCCACUUACUUACUAUAACUAGCCCCACCCCUCUCUUACUAACACACAUAACACAUCACAUUCCUUUUCAUUUGUCCUUCCCUCCUAAAUACUCUAACCUUACAACACACCAUUUCACUAUAUCCAUCUUCUCAACUAACCUCCAACUACAUUACCAUGACUAUAAGUUUCCUCCAGUCAAAACUGAAUAUAUCCAUCUCCUUUUUACUACUUUACUCUCUUAUUACUACUUAUUUCCUAACCUCAUAUGAAUACUCUCUAACUGUUUCUCUCCCACUUCCAUCAAAACACACAUGCACACCAGAAACUUCUCCAUCCCCAUCCUUCUUACAUACCUCCUCACAAUCCAUCUACCUUCUUGCCAAAUACCACAGACUACUACACUGC